RNAcentral lists this ribosomal RNA (252 nucleotides) under uncultured bacterium. RNAcentral's name for it is "partial 16S ribosomal RNA". It matches the Rfam family "Bacterial small subunit ribosomal RNA", at positions 524 to 776 of the family's 1533-position model. The record is from RNAcentral.
UACGAAGGGUGCAAGCGUUACUCGGAAUUACUGGGCGUAAAGCGUGCGUAGGUGGUUUGUUAAGUCUGUUGUGAAGCCCCGGGCUCAACCUGGGAAUGGCAAUGGAUACUGGCAGGCUAGAGUGCGGUAGAGGGUAGUGGAAUUCCCGGUGUAGCGGUGAAAUGCGUAGAGAUCGGGAGGAACACCAGUGGCGAAGGCGGCUACCUGGACCAGCACUGACACUGAGGCACGAAAGCGUGGGGAGCAAACAGG